CCAGUUGAGAAUCAGGACUUAUCUCUCUGAUUUUGUCCUCUUAGAAUUGCCAAAGUGGAAGAGACCCUACGGAUCAUGGAGUCCAGCCCCUGUCAAGGAGACAGAGUGAGGAGGUGAACACCGAAUCUCUGGGUCUGCAACCCGAGACCUAAACCAUUGAGCUAUCCAUCUGCUCUCUGGAGAAAUGGCAUCACCAAGAUGCAAUGAAGAAGAAACAAUAACAAGAGAAUACCGAUCAGCAUCUUUCUCCUGUCAAGUCUGAAAUUCUGUAUGGGGAUCUUGUCUUCUUAUCUUUGGGCUGUUCUUGUCAGAACACGCAGCCUCGUGAUUGUUCCUGAACCCAACAUAAUACUGUCGACAUUGUUACUGGGAAUCCAUGAAGGCCUGGGCCAUGCUCCUGUGUGUAUCUAAAGCAAUAUCUUGGUCUUGAUGUCAAGUAAUCAGACGGCGAUUAGCCAAAUGGAAGGCCACCUGGAUGGUUACAGCUUUUUAUUGGCAUCCCAAGUUUCUAUAAUCUUUCAUUUCAAUUAAUGGUUCUAUAGCAGCACACUCUGCUGUUAUUUGGGAUGGAAGGCUUAUGUCUCAGUCACCACCUUCAGAAAGUCUCUUGUAAACUAAUUAUCGCUAACAUACCUGUGUAGUAGGCAACUGACAUUCACCUACUCUGUAAAUGAGCAGUUGAUUGUGAAAAAUUAAUUGGGAACUUUUAUUUUUAAAAAUGCAGAAAAUAAGAAUUUAAUAAUUAUGCUGGCUUGAAUUAAAGCAUCACAAAUGAUGCAUCUAAUUGAAAGUGAUUAAUGCUGACAAUGAAGUCUUGCUAUCUUCAUGUUUUUACCAUCAUGCAUAGUGGAUGACUCUGGGAUACAUAUGUGGGGAAAUGUUUCACGCUGCCCUUUAUGGGUUUGACACCUUGAACUGAGUGC
Molecule: long non-coding RNA, 923 nt
Filed under: Pogona vitticeps (central bearded dragon)
Lineage: Eukaryota; Metazoa; Chordata; Lepidosauria; Squamata; Agamidae
Description: lncRNA (ENSPVIG00000008863.1)
Source: RNAcentral